Molecule: ribosomal RNA, 488 nt
Filed under: uncultured bacterium
Lineage: Bacteria
Description: partial 16S ribosomal RNA
Rfam family: Bacterial small subunit ribosomal RNA
Source: RNAcentral
GAUGAACGCUAGCGGCAGGCCUAAUACAUGCAAGUCGGACGGGAUCCAUUGAUAGCUUGCUAUCAAUGGUGAGAGUGGCGCCCGUGUGCGUCACGCGUGAGCAACCUGCCUCCAUCAGGGGGAUCGCCUCUCGAAAGAGAGAUUAACACCGCAUAAUAUCAACAGUUCGCAUGUUCAGUUGAUUAAAUCUUUAUAGGAUGGACAUGGGCUCGCGUGACAUUAGUUAGUUGGUAGGGUAACGGCUUACCAAGGCGACGAUGUCUAGGGGCUCUGAGAGGAGAAUCCCCCACACUGGUACUGAGACACGGACCAGACUCCUACGGGAGGCAGCAGUAAGGAAUAUUGGGCAAUGGGCGGAAGCCUGAACCAGCCAUGCCGCGUGCAGGAUGACUGCCCUAUGGGUUGUAAACUGCUGUUGACCAGGAAUAAACCUAAAUACGAGUAUUUAGCUGAAUGUACUGGAAGAAUAAGGAUCGGCUAACUCCGUG